UAACACGUAGGUGACCUGCCCCGAAGUGGGGGACAACUCGUCGAAAGACGAGCUAAUACCGCAUGUGAUCACUGAUUCAUUUCAGUGCUCAAAGUCGCAAGACGCUUUGGGAGGGGCCUGCGGCCGAUUAGCUAGUUGGUGGGGUAAUGGCCUACCAAGGCCUCGAUCGGUAGCUGGUCUGAGAGGACGAUCAGCCACACUGGGAUUGAGAACGGCCCAG
This 220-nucleotide ribosomal RNA is filed under the name uncultured bacterium. Its description in RNAcentral is "partial 16S ribosomal RNA". It matches the Rfam family "Bacterial small subunit ribosomal RNA", at positions 111 to 334 of the family's 1533-position model. The record is from RNAcentral.